AUUGAACGCUGGCGGCAGGCCUAACACAUGCAAGUCGAACGGUAACAGGAAACAGCUUGCUGUUUCGCUGACGAGUGGCGGACGGGUGAGUAAUGUCUGGGAAACUGCCUGAUGGAGGGGGAUAACUACUGGAAACGGUAGCUAAUACCGCAUAACGUCGCAAGACCAAAGAGGGGGACCCUCGGGCCUCUUGCCAUCGGAUGUGCCCAGAUGGGAUUAGCUUGUUGGUGGGGUAACGGCUCACCAAGGCGACGAUCCCUAGCUGGUCUGAGAGGAUGACCAGCCACACAGGAACUGAGACACGGUCCAGACUCCUACGGGAGGCAGCAGUGGGGAAUAUUGCACAAUGGGCGAAAGCCUGAUGCAGCCAUGCCGCGUGUAUGAAGAAGGCCUUCGGGUUGUAAAGUACUUUCAGCGGGGAGGAAGGGAGUAAAGUUAAUACCUUUGCUCAUUGACGUUACCCGCAGAAGAAGCACCGGCUAACUCCGUG
Molecule: ribosomal RNA, 490 nt
Filed under: uncultured bacterium
Lineage: Bacteria
Description: partial 16S ribosomal RNA
Rfam family: Bacterial small subunit ribosomal RNA
Source: RNAcentral